GCGUUUGGUGUGUUCAGUACCUCUUUGUGCAGUCUUCUGUCCAAGAAGACUCUUCCAGGAUUAAAAUCUCACAGACAGAGGUGCAAUGCUCAUAGCAGUGUUGUAUCUGCUGAUCAUUAGCCUUCUGCAUGAUCUUGUUUUUCAGAGGUUUCUGCUGAUCUCCUAUAGCAUCAGGAAGGCUUUUUUCUCCCAGUCAACAGAUAACUCAGAACUGAAGAAGGCUGUUAGAUUUCAAUAUUUACUGUAACAUUUGAACUGCAAGAGUUCCCUCGGCCAAAAACUGCCUGUGAGGAGCCCCUGAGUGUCCCCAGCCCAACUCCUGUCACCGUGCUGUUCCCUGGGGAUAACAAAACCCUUCGCAGGCGUGAAGAAUGAACCACAGGUAGGUCAAAUUCAUAUCCAGAAGUUCACUGCAGUUCCAUUAUGAUAUCGUUAAGUUCCGUGUUCCUACUGAAAAGAUGACAUUUUCUAUUGAACAGUGACAUUUGAAAAUAUAGAACUAACAUAUUACAUUUCUGCUGAAAUAUUUGAUUCAGCAAACAAACGACAGACACAGCUAUUGCUGGUUUCAUUGGCUUUUGCAGAAACAUUAUACAAAUUGUUAUUUGCUCCCACGUUUUAACCCCUUCUUUUCUUUUAGACAGGCAAGUGGUUAAAAAAAAAGUAUGAGCCGUUUAAGACAACAGCACAAAAACUUUUCUGAAGUUUAGUUUUUUAUGUUUACCAUGGAAACAUUCUUUGAGACAUUCAUCAAGAGACGGACAGGGAUUAUUUAGUGGAACACAGUCUCUGCCAGGAAGUUUUGUAUGAAUAUAUCAAGAUAUAUCAGAAAACUUUCUUAAGGAUGAAU
This 850-nucleotide long non-coding RNA is filed under the name Calidris pugnax (ruff). RNAcentral's name for it is "lncRNA (ENSCPUG00000009027.1)". Lineage: Eukaryota; Metazoa; Chordata; Aves; Charadriiformes; Scolopacidae. The record is from RNAcentral.